AUCACAUUGGGUGCUCACUACUAAAAUUGGAACCAUACAGAGAAGAUUAGCAUGGCCCCGUGGAAGGAUGACAUGUAAAUUCAUGAAGCGUUCUAUAUUUUC
Marmota marmota marmota (Alpine marmot) is the source of this 102-nucleotide small nuclear RNA. NCBI's taxonomy places the organism in Eukaryota, Metazoa, Chordata, Mammalia, Rodentia, Sciuridae. The record is from Ensembl.